Molecule: ribosomal RNA, 497 nt
Filed under: uncultured bacterium
Lineage: Bacteria
Description: partial 16S ribosomal RNA
Rfam family: Bacterial small subunit ribosomal RNA
Source: RNAcentral
GAUGAACGCUGGCGGCGUGCCUAAUACAUGCAAGUCGAGCGAACGGACGAGAAGUUGGCUUUUCUGAUGUUUGCGGCGGACGGGUGAGUAACACGUGUGUACCCCACCUCUCAUCCUGGGAUAACUGCGGGAAACCGGAUCUAAUACCGGAUAAUAUUGUUAACCGCAUGGUUCAGAAGUGAAAGACGGUCUUGCUGUCACUUAUAGACGGAUCCGCGUUGUAUUAGCUAGUUGGUAAGGCAACGGCUGACCAAGUCGCCGAGGCAUAGCGGAGCUGAGAGGGUGAGCGGCCACGCUAGAACGGAGACACGGACCAGACUCCUACGGGAGGCAGGAGUAGGGCAUCUUGCGGAAUGGGCGAAAGCUGGACGGAGCAACGCCGCGUGAUUGAGGAAGGUCUUCGGAUCGUAAAACUCUGUUAGUAGGGAAGAACAUAUGUGUAAGUACCUGUGCACAUCGUGACGGUACCUAAUCAGAAAGCCACGGCUAACUACGUG